GUCUACAGCCAUACUACCCAGAAUGCACCCAAUCUCAUCUGAUCUCAGAAACUAACAGGGUCAGGCCUGGUUAGUAUUCCAAUGGCAACAGUCAUGUUCAUUCAUGGAUACUUAUUCA
RNAcentral lists this ribosomal RNA (118 nucleotides) under Nomascus leucogenys (northern white-cheeked gibbon). The record is from RNAcentral. Lineage: Eukaryota; Metazoa; Chordata; Mammalia; Primates; Hylobatidae.